RNAcentral lists this ribosomal RNA (404 nucleotides) under uncultured bacterium. RNAcentral describes it as "partial 16S ribosomal RNA". It matches the Rfam family "Bacterial small subunit ribosomal RNA", at positions 28 to 526 of the family's 1533-position model. The record is from RNAcentral.
GAUGAACGCUGGCGGCGUGCCUAAUACAUGCAAGUCGAGCGAAGCGGGGACGGGUGAGUAACACGUGGAUAACCUCCUAUAAGACUGGGAUAACUUCGGGAAACCGGAGCUAAACCGGAUACUUAUAGAUGGAUCCUCGCUGCAUUAGCUAGUUGGUAAGGUAACGGCGUACCAAGGCACCGAUGCAUAGCCGACCUGAGAGGGUGUUCGGCAAAACUGGAACUGAGACACGGUCCAGACUCCUAGGGGGGGAAGAAGGAGGGAAUCUGCCGAAAUGGGGGAACGCCUGACGGGGCAACGCGGGGGGAGUGAUGAAGGUCUUCGGAUCGAAAAACGUUGUUAUUAGGGAAGCGGUACAUAAGCAGAAAGCCACGGCUAACUACGUGCCAGCGCCGCGGUAAUAC